ACACGUAGGGGGCGAGCGUUGUUCGGAAUCAUUGGGCGUAAAGGGCGCGCAGGCGGCGAGGCAAGUCCGGUGUUAAAUGGUCGGGCUCAACCCGAUCAUGCGCUGGAAACUGGGCGGCUUGAGUCCCGUAGGGGAUGCCGGAAUUCCAGGUGUAGGGGUGAAAUCUGUAGAUAUCUGGAAGAACACCGAUGGCGAAGGCAGGCAUCUGGCCGGAGACUGACGCUGAGGCGCGAAGGCGCGGGGAGCGAACAGGUUUAGAUACCCUGGUAGUCCGCGCAGUAAACGAUGCGCACCAGGUGUCGGGCGGCAGCGCCCGGUACCGGAGCUAACGCGAUGAGUGCGCCGCCUGGGGAGUAUGCCCGCAAGGGUGAAACUCAAAUGAAUUGACGGGG
Molecule: ribosomal RNA, 392 nt
Filed under: uncultured bacterium
Lineage: Bacteria
Description: partial 16S ribosomal RNA
Rfam family: Bacterial small subunit ribosomal RNA
Source: RNAcentral